GCAGGCAAGAGCACAGCAUGACCCCUGCUGAUUGCUGUAUCCUACAGUUACAUCCCACUGCAUUCCUUGUACUACUCUGAUGAUGCCUGCAAGAUAUCCAUGCCAGGAGUGUUAUUAAAGAGAGAUUUCUCAUGAAGCCAGAGCCAGAAGAAAGAGAAAACCCAGGAAUUAUGAAUGUGAAACAGUUCCACUUAUCAGGAAUGACCCUUUUUGGAGAUGUAGGUUCUGAG
Passer domesticus (house sparrow) is the source of this 230-nucleotide long non-coding RNA. RefSeq lists it as uncharacterized. The transcript has 3 exons. NCBI's taxonomy places the organism in Eukaryota, Metazoa, Chordata, Aves, Passeriformes, Passeridae. The record is from RefSeq and is a predicted model, not a curated record.